GAUGAACGCUGGCGGCGUGCCUAAUACAUGCAAGUCGAGCGAACGGACGAGAAGCUUGCUUUUCUGAUGUUAGCGGCGGACGGGUGAGUAACACGUGGAUAACCUACCUAUAAGACUGGGAUAUCUUCGGGAAACCGGCGCUAAUACCGUAUAAUAUUUUGAACCGCAUGGUUCAAAAGUGAAAGACGGUCUUGCUGUCACUUAUAGAUGGUUCCGCGCUGCUUUAGCUAGUUGGUAAGGUCACGGCUUACCACGGCAACGAUGCAUAGACGACCUGAGAGGGGGAUAGGAGACAUGAGAACGGAGACACGGUCAUUAGGACUAAGGGAGGCAGCAGUAGGAAAUCGGACGCAAUAGGGGGAAGCAUGGCGGAGAGGGGGCGAGUGAGAGAUGAAGAUCUUGGGAUCGGAAAGCUCUGUUAUUGGGGAAGAACAUAUGUGGAAGUAACUGUGCACAGCGUGACGGUACCGGGUCAGAAAGCAACGGCUAACUACGUG
RNAcentral lists this ribosomal RNA (497 nucleotides) under uncultured bacterium. RNAcentral describes it as "partial 16S ribosomal RNA". It matches the Rfam family "Bacterial small subunit ribosomal RNA", at positions 28 to 507 of the family's 1533-position model. The record is from RNAcentral.